AACAAGGACACCAGUUAGGCCACUCAGAGUAACUAUCAGUAACUAACUGGUUACUCUGAGUAACCUAACUGGUAUCCUUGU
Molecule: microRNA precursor, 81 nt
Organism: Bos indicus x Bos taurus (hybrid cattle)
Lineage: Eukaryota; Metazoa; Chordata; Mammalia; Artiodactyla; Bovidae
Source: Ensembl